This 395-nucleotide ribosomal RNA is filed under the name uncultured bacterium. RNAcentral describes it as "bacterial SSU rRNA". It matches the Rfam family "Bacterial small subunit ribosomal RNA", at positions 8 to 406 of the family's 1533-position model. The record is from RNAcentral.
AGAGUUUGAUCCUGGCUCAGGACGAACGCUGGCGGCGUGCUUAACACAUGCAAGUCGAACGGUGAAGUCCCUUCGGGGGCGGAUCAGUGGCGAACGGGUGAGUAACACGUGGGUAAUCUGCCCCCCACUGUGGGAUAACUCCGGGAAACCGGGGCUAAUACCGCAUAUGAAGCCUGGCGGCAUCGCCGGGUUUGGAAAGUUUUUCGGUGAGGGAUGAGCCCGCGGCCUAUCAGCUUGUUGGUGAGGUAAUGGCUCACCAAGGCGACGACGGGUAGCCGGCCUGAGAGGGCGACCGGCCACACUGGGACUGAGACACGGCCCAGACUCCUACGGGAGGCAGCAGUGGGGAAUAUUGGGCAAUGGGCGAAAGCCUGACCCAGCGACGCCGCGUGCGG